Long non-coding RNA from Pongo pygmaeus (Bornean orangutan), 1901 nucleotides. RefSeq lists it as uncharacterized. Lineage: Eukaryota; Metazoa; Chordata; Mammalia; Primates; Hominidae. The record is from RefSeq and is a predicted model, not a curated record. The transcript has 3 exons.
UAUUUGCUGACAAAAAUUUUCAUGUAUAGCCUUUGAGGUCCAGAAUGAUAAUUGAAUUUUUCAUAUCUUCUACAUCCUUAUUUGUGUGUUUUCCGAAUGAGUAUUCAAAUUCUGAAAGAAGCAUGUCAAAAUCUCCAAAUGCCAAGUCCCUUUAUUUAUAGGCACAGCUGCAUAAAGAAAUAAGUUGGCCCCUGAUGGCGACAGAGCUUCUUGACCCCUGACCAGGUAUCAAAGGAAGAUAAGACCUCACGAAACCAGCACAAAUCGGAACAGUUGCUUUGAGAAAAAUAGAAGUACAGGCCAGGCGCGGUGGCUCACGCCUGUAAUCCCAGCACUUUGGGAGGCCAAGGCGGGCAGAUCAUGAGGUCAGGAGAUCGAGACCAUCCUGGCUAACACAGUGAAACCCCAUCUCUACUAAAAAUACAAAAAAUUUGCCAGGCAUUGUGGCAGGUGCCUGUGGUCCCAGCUGCUCGGGAUGCUGAGGCAGGAGGAUGGCAUGAACCUGGGAGGUGGAGCUUGCAGUGAGCUGAGAUGGUGCCACUGCACUCCAGCCUGGGCAACACAGUGAGACUCCGUCUCAAAAAAAAAGAAAGAAAAAUAGAGGUACUCAGUUAUAAUCAGAAUAUUGGUCAAAAUAUGGACUGUAAGACCAUCCAAUGAAGUCUCAGAUGGAAAUGAGGAACAGAAUAUUGGAAACUGGAGUAAAGACCAUCCUCGUUAUAAAGCAGCAAAGAACUUGGCUGAAUUGUGUCCAUGCCUGAGGGCUUUUGAAAGGCAGAACUUAAGAGUGAUGAACUGGAAUAUAUGGCAGAAGAAAUAUUUCAACAGCAAAGCAUUCAGGCUGCUGCAUGACCACUUUUGGCUGUUUAUGGUAAGAUGAGAGAAGAAACAGAGGAGAAAAAUUUUGGAAAAUUCACAGCCUGGCCAUGUGGUAGAGAAUGAAAGAGCAUUUUCAACAGAGGAAACCAAGGAUGUGAACAAGUGACCAAUUAAUGAGAGAAUUAGAGUGAAUGGAAGAAAGCCAGAGGCUCUUUGUUAUGACAAUGGGAGAAAACCCCUGAAGGCAUUUCAGAGAUCUUUGAGGCCGCCCCUCCCAUUACAGGACCAGAGGUAUAGGAGGACAGAGUGGUUUCGUGGAUAGGCUGCUGCCCAGGAUCACUUCAGGUCUCUGUUCCCUGCAUUUCAAGACAGUGCUCCUCAGUGCCCCAUCCGUGGCUCAAGCAGCCCCAGGUGUAUCUUGAUCCACAGCUCCAGGAAGUAUAAGUUGUAAGCCUUGGUGGCAUCCAUGUGGUGUUAAGUCUGUGGGGUUUCAGAAUACAAGAGCUAUGGGGAUAUGACUGCCUCCACCUAUGUUUCAAAGAAUGACUUGUACUGGAAGCCCAAGCAGAAACCUGCCACAGGGUGGAGCUGCCACAGAGUGCCUCUAUUAGGUAGAUUCCCAGCAGAAAUGUAGGGUUGGAGCCACCAUAGAGAGCCCCAGCAAGGGCAAUGCCUAAUGAAACCGUGGGAGCAGGACCACCAAGGAGACCACCUAACUGUAGGGCUACCAGCACGCAAACUAGCCUGGCAGAGCUGUGAUGUGGCUUGCACCCAGCAAAGCCACUGGGGCAGGGCUUCCUGAGACCCUGGGGCCAAGCCACUGCUCCAAUGUCCCUAGGAUGCAGGACACUGAGUCUAAGGAAAUUAUUCUCUAACUUAAAGACUACUGUUGUUUACCCUGUUGGGUUUUGGACUUACUUGGGACCUGCUACUCCUUUCAUUUUGCCUAUUUCUUUUUGGGGGAGGGGAUGGAGUCUCACUCAGUCACCCAGGCUGGAGUGUAGUGGUACAAUCUCAGUUCACUGCAACCUUUGCCUCUUGGGUUCGAGUAAUUCUCCUGCCUCAGCCUACUGAGUAGCUGG